This is a long non-coding RNA of Mauremys mutica (yellowpond turtle), 586 nucleotides long. RefSeq lists it as uncharacterized. The transcript is spliced from 3 exons. The record is from RefSeq and is a predicted model, not a curated record. NCBI's taxonomy places the organism in Eukaryota, Metazoa, Chordata, Testudines, Geoemydidae.
GGGCCGGAUAUGUGCUCUCAGAGCUGGGGGCAGGGGCAGGGAGCCCCUAUAAAAGCCCCCUCCCCCGCUUCUAUAGUCUCUGGGGGAGACUGUCCUGGCCUCAAAUAGGCCUGACCCCGCCCAGCCCUAAUGGCGGGGUUGAGCUUUGGGUGGACUAGUGGGGACAGGCUGACCUGGCAGAGGGGCUGAACAAAGACAGUCCUGGGGAAGAGGUUGCCAGCUGUAAAUUACCUGAGAUGGAAUUUGGCCAGGACGCACCUACAGAAAAACUCACCUCAGACCUUCCACUGCAGCUGAGUUCACAUCAUCUGCAGAUAGGGCGGCCAAUCCCAGCUAAAGACGUUCCGUGGGGCGAUACCUGCCGUGCCCUGUCCUCGCACUCAGCCAGCAGCGGCCCCUUCCCCUCAGCAGCAGGAGCAGCAAAACUCUUCCUGGUCCCUGGGGUCCCUUCAGAGAUGGCCCAGCAUUUCUCCAGUCCAUUUACAGAUGGCUCAAAUGGAUUUGCUCUCUGCUUCUCGGAUAUUACACCUCCUCUUCUUGGAUCAGACAGUGCUCCCCAGGACAUGCGGCCUUGGAGGGGCCUGGG